Scomber japonicus (chub mackerel) is the source of this 398-nucleotide long non-coding RNA. RefSeq lists it as uncharacterized. The record is from RefSeq and is a predicted model, not a curated record. Lineage: Eukaryota; Metazoa; Chordata; Actinopteri; Scombriformes; Scombridae. The transcript has 4 exons.
CCUCUUUCCAUUGCUCUUUUCGCUUCGAGAAACUUCUCCUCACGAUGAGAGCCAAGUGGAGGAAGAAGCGUAUGCGCAGGCUGAAGCGUAAAAGGAGAAAGAUGAGGCAGAGGUCAAAGUAAGCCCUCAUCCCUGCCAGCUGUGGUCCCGUCAGAGCUUCUUCAGAUGACUGACACAUGUAGCUGAAGUGGAUCACUUGGAGCCUGCAUCAGCAAAACGAAGACGACACGUGACUUCAGACGACCACCUUUCUCACGUAGCCAGCUGUGAAAGUCUGACGAAGGCAGCAACGACGCUGGACUGAUCUGUCAACAUCACAACUACAGCUGUCUAGUUCAUGGACCAUACAGAACAUCUCAACUGUUGUGGUGUUUUGAACAAUAAAUGUUUAAAAAUUU